This 449-nucleotide ribosomal RNA is filed under the name uncultured bacterium. Its description in RNAcentral is "partial 16S ribosomal RNA". It matches the Rfam family "Bacterial small subunit ribosomal RNA", at positions 338 to 795 of the family's 1533-position model. The record is from RNAcentral.
CCUACGGGGGGCAGCAGUGGGGAAUUUUGGACAAUGGGGGAAACCCUGAUCCAGCCAUUCCGCGUGAGUGAAGAAGGCCUUCGGGUUGUAAAGCUCUUUCAGCAGGGAAGAAACGGUUUUGGAUAAUACCUGAGACUAAUGACGGUACCUGCAGAAGAAGCACCGGCUAACUACGUGCCAGCAGCCGCGGUAAUACGUAGGGUGCGAGCGUUAAUCGGAAUUACUGGGCGUAAUGCGUGCGCAGGCGGUGAAAGCCCCGGGCUCAACCUGGGAACUGCGUUUGAAACUACAAGGCUAGAGUGUAGCAGAGGGGGGUAGAAUUCCACGUGUAGCAGUGAAAUGCGUAGAGAUGUGGAGGAAUACCGAUGGCGAAGGCAGCCCCCUGGGUUAACACUGACGCUCAUGUACGAAAGCGUGGGGAGCAAACAGGAUUAGAUACCCCAGUAGUC